AUAUUGGGUGUUUUCGGUAGCCGGUACGUUUACUUUGAGAAAAUUAGAGUGCUUAAAGCAGGCUAUCGCCUGAAUAAUGUUGCAUGGAAUAAUAGAAUAGGACCUCGGUUCUAUUUUGUUGGUUUUGUAGAGCAUUGAGGUAAUGAUUAAUAGGGACAGACGGGGGCAUUCGUAUUGCGGUGUUAGAGGUGAAAUUCUUGGAUCGCCGCAAGACGAACAACUGCGAAAGCAUUUGCCAAGAAUGUUUUCAUUAAUCAAGAACGAAAGUUGGAGGUUCGAAGACGAUUAGAUACCGUCCUAGUUCCAACCAUAAACGAUGCCAACUAGCGAUUAGCUGCUGUUAAUCAAACGACACAGCUAGCAGCUUCCGGGAAACCAAAGUUUUUGGGUUCCGGGGGAAGUAUGGUUGCAAAGCUGAAACUAAAGGAAUGACGAAGGCCCCCUGAUGUC
RNAcentral lists this ribosomal RNA (450 nucleotides) under Lecanidae environmental sample. RNAcentral describes it as "SSU rRNA". It matches the Rfam family "Eukaryotic small subunit ribosomal RNA", at positions 723 to 1178 of the family's 1831-position model. The record is from RNAcentral. Lineage: Eukaryota; Metazoa; Rotifera; Eurotatoria; Ploima; Lecanidae.